Molecule: ribosomal RNA, 506 nt
Filed under: uncultured bacterium
Lineage: Bacteria
Description: partial 16S ribosomal RNA
Rfam family: Bacterial small subunit ribosomal RNA
Source: RNAcentral
AUUGAACGCUGGCGGCAGGCCUAACACAUGCAAGUCGAGCGGCAGCGGGAAGUAGCUUGCUACUUUGCCGGCGAGCGGCGGACGGGUGAGUAAUGUCUGGGAAACUGCCUGAUGGAGGGGGAUAACUACUGGAAACGGUAGCUAAUACCGCAUAACGUCGCAAGACCAAAGAGGGGGACCUUCGGGCCUCUUGCCAUCAGAUGUGCCCAGAUGGGAUUAGCUAGUAGGUGGGGCAAUGGCUCACCUAGGCGACGAUCCCUAGCUGGUCUGCGAGGAUGACCAGCCACACUGGAACUGAGACACGGUCCAGACUCCGACGGGAGGCAGCAGUGGGGAAUAUUGCACAAUGGGCGCAAGCCUGAUGCAGCCAUGCCGCGUGUAUGAAGAAGGCCUUCGGGUUGUAAAGUACUUUCAGCGGGGAGGAAGGUGUUGAGGUUAAUAACCUCAGCAAUUGACGUUACCCGCAGAAGAAGCACCGGCUAACUCCGUGCCAGCCGCCGCAGUAA